This 482-nucleotide ribosomal RNA is filed under the name uncultured bacterium. RNAcentral describes it as "partial 16S ribosomal RNA". It matches the Rfam family "Bacterial small subunit ribosomal RNA", at positions 30 to 505 of the family's 1533-position model. The record is from RNAcentral.
AUUGAACGCUGGCGGCAGGCCUAACACAUGCAAGUCGAGCGGAUGAAGGGAGCUUGCUCCUGGAUUCAGCGGCGGACGGGUGAGUAAUGCCUAGGAAUCUGCCUGGUAGUGGGGGAUAACGUCCGGAAACGGGCGCUAAUACCGCAUACGUCCUGAGGGAGAAAGUGGGGGAUCUUCGGACCUCACGCUAUCAGAUGAGCCUAGGUCGGAUUAGCUAGUUGGUGGGGUAAAGGCCUACCAAGGCGACGAUCCGUAACUGGUCUGAGAGGAUGAUCAGUCACACUGGAACUGAGACACGGUCCAGACUCCUACGGGAGGCAGCAGUGGGGAAUAUUGGACAAUGGGCGAAAGCCUGAUCCAGCCAUGCCGCGUGUGUGAAGAAGGUCUUCGGAUUGUAAAGCACUUUAAGUUGGGAGGAAGGGCAGUAAGUUAAUACCUUGCUGUUUUGACGUUACCAACAGAAUAAGCACCGGCUAACGUCG